This 67-nucleotide transfer RNA is filed under the name Anguilla anguilla (European eel). Its description in RNAcentral is "tRNA-OTHER". The record is from RNAcentral. Lineage: Eukaryota; Metazoa; Chordata; Actinopteri; Anguilliformes; Anguillidae.
GCCUCAGAUGGUGGUGCAGCGGAUAGCACAGCAAGAAGGUCCUGGGUUCAAAUCCCGGUCUGGGGCU